Molecule: ribosomal RNA, 468 nt
Filed under: uncultured bacterium
Lineage: Bacteria
Description: partial 16S ribosomal RNA
Rfam family: Bacterial small subunit ribosomal RNA
Source: RNAcentral
GACGAACGCUGGCGGCGUGCUUAACACAUGCAAGUCGAACGGAAAGGCCCUGCUUUUGUGGGGUGCUCGAGUGGCGAACGGGUGAGUAACACGUGAGUAACCUUCCCUUGACUUUUGGAUAACUUCAGGAAACUGGGGCUAAUAUCGGAUAGGAGCUCCUGCUUCAUGGUGGGGGUUGGAAAGUUUCGGCGGUUGGGGAUGGACUCGCGGCUUAUCAGCUUGUUGGUGGGGUAGUGGCUUACCAAGGCUUUGACGGGUAGCCGGCCUGAGAGGGUGACCGGCCACAUUGGGACUGAGAUACGGCCCAGACUCCUACGGGAGGCAGCAGUGGGGAAUAUUGCACAAUGGGCGGAAGCCUGAUGCAGCAACGCCGCGUGCGGGAUGACGGCCUUCGGGUUGUAAACCGCUUUCGCCUGUGACGAAGCGUGAGUGACGGUAAUGGGUAAAGAAGCACCGGCUAACUACGUG